Meleagris gallopavo (turkey) is the source of this 390-nucleotide non-coding RNA. The record is from RefSeq and is a predicted model, not a curated record. NCBI's taxonomy places the organism in Eukaryota, Metazoa, Chordata, Aves, Galliformes, Phasianidae.
AGUUUAUGCCCAUUGCCUCUUGACCUUGUUGUUAUAUACCACUGAGAAGAGUCUGGCUCCAACUCUACACCAUAUAUCAGUAGCUGGUAUCGCCUGAGGUUAGAUGCUCUAUAAAUUGUCACAUGAUGCACAGUCACUCUCUGGGAAUGAACACAAUGGGACUUUUAAAAUGCUUAGAAAUGUAGAGUGAGAAAAAUGCCAAUGAUUGCAGCCUUUGAGGAAGGAGCAGUUAAUGGAUCUCCAAGGAAAUACCCGGAAUACAGCUGCUCUGUGGGGGAGAGGAGGUCAGUAGCAGCUGAGCAGGGGCUGGAGGCAGCUCACCAUCUCAGAUUUGAGAUAUAUGCUGGCUGCUGAUAACGUGGGAUGUUAAAAUGACAGAAUUGGGGUUGA